Molecule: ribosomal RNA, 253 nt
Filed under: uncultured bacterium
Lineage: Bacteria
Description: partial 16S ribosomal RNA
Rfam family: Bacterial small subunit ribosomal RNA
Source: RNAcentral
UACCCGCCGCUCAAGUGGUGGUCAUUAUUAUUGGGCUUAAAGCGUCCGUAGCUGGCUUGUUAGAUGCCUGGGUAAAUCGAUGUGCUUAACGCAUCGAAUUCCGGGUAGACCGGCAAGCUCGAGACCGGGAGAGGUGUAGGCUACUCGGGGGGUAGGGGUAAAAUCCGUUGAUAUCAUGGGGAACGCCAAAAGCGAAGGCAAUCGACUGGCGCAUUUUUGACGCUGAAACACGAAAGCGUGGGUAGCGAACGGG